GACGAAUGCUGGCGGCGUGCUUAACACAUGCAAGUCGAACGGAAAGGCCCUGCUUUUGUGGGGUGCUCGAGUGGCGAACGGGUGAGUAACACGUGAGUAACCUGCCCUUGACUUUGGGAUAACUUCAGGAAACUGGGGCUAAUACCGGAUAGGAGCUCCUGCUGCAUGGUGGGGGUUGGAAAGUUUCGGCGGUUGGGGAUGGACUCGCGGCUUAUCAGCUUGUUGGUGGGGUAGUGGCUUACCAAGGCUUUGACGGGUAGCCGGCCUGCGAGGGUGACCGGCCACAUUGGGACUGAGAUACGGCCCAGACACCUACGGGAGGCAGGAGUGGGGAAUAUGGCACAAGGGGCGGAAGCAUGAUGCAGCAACGCCGCGUGCGGGAUGACGGCAUUCGGGUUGUAAACCGCUUUCGCCUGUGACGAAGCGUGAGUGACGGUAAUGGGUAAAGAAGCACCGGCUAACUACGU
Molecule: ribosomal RNA, 467 nt
Filed under: uncultured bacterium
Lineage: Bacteria
Description: partial 16S ribosomal RNA
Rfam family: Bacterial small subunit ribosomal RNA
Source: RNAcentral